RNAcentral lists this ribosomal RNA (468 nucleotides) under uncultured bacterium. RNAcentral's name for it is "partial 16S ribosomal RNA". It matches the Rfam family "Bacterial small subunit ribosomal RNA", at positions 28 to 507 of the family's 1533-position model. The record is from RNAcentral.
GACGAACGCUGGCGGCGUGCUUAACACAUGCAAGUCGAACGGAAAGGCCCUGCUUUUGUGGGGUGCUCGAGUGGCGAACGGGUGAGUAACACGUGAGUAACCUGCCCUUGACUUUGGGAUAACUUCAGGAAACUGGGGCUAAUACCGGAUAGGAGCUCCUGCUGCAUGGUGGGGGUUGGAAAGUUUCGGCGGUUGGGGAUGGACUCGCGGCUUAUCAGCUUGUUGGUGGGGUAGUGGCUUACCAAGGCUUUGACGGGUAGCCGGCCUGAGAGGGUGACCGGCCACAUUGGGACCGAGAUACGGCCCAGACUCCUACGGGAGGCAGCGGUGGGGAAUAUUGCACAAUGGGCGGAAGCCUGAUGCAGCAACGCCGCGUGCGGGAUGACGGCCUUCGGGUUGUAAACCGCUUUCGCCUGUGACGAAGCGUGAGUGACGGUAAUGGGUAAAGAAGCACCGGCUAACUACGUG